Molecule: transfer RNA, 85 nt
Filed under: Felis catus (domestic cat)
Lineage: Eukaryota; Metazoa; Chordata; Mammalia; Carnivora; Felidae
Rfam family: tRNA
About the family: Transfer RNA (tRNA) molecules are approximately 80 nucleotides in length. Their secondary structure includes four short double-helical elements and three loops (D, anti-codon, and T loops).
Source: Rfam by way of RNAcentral
GCCUGGGUGGCUCAGUUGGUUGAGCGUCUGACUUCGAUUCAGGUCACGAUCCCACGGUUCAUGGGUUCAAGCCCCGCGUCGGGCU